GUGGAAUUACUACGGCGAACAAUGGCUGGCUGCUAACCAGCCCGCUCCGGCUCCGGUUCAACCCAUAGUUUCACA
Molecule: transfer RNA, 75 nt
Filed under: Candidatus Poseidoniales archaeon
Lineage: Archaea; Methanobacteriati; Thermoplasmatota; Candidatus Poseidoniia; Candidatus Poseidoniales
Description: tRNA-Ser
Source: RNAcentral